This 489-nucleotide long non-coding RNA is filed under the name Danio rerio (zebrafish). RNAcentral's name for it is "si:ch211-274p15.1 (ENSDARG00000105081.2)". The record is from RNAcentral. Lineage: Eukaryota; Metazoa; Chordata; Actinopteri; Cypriniformes; Danionidae.
CACCGCAUUGAUCACAGAAUAUUUUAGCUAUUACUAUGACAUGCAAAUAUAACAUAUAACAUGCCAUAUAUCAUGUAGGAUGAUAUGUUGUCAAAUCAACAUAGCGUGACUGCAUAUGUAUACUUUAUUGUCUGUCUGUCUGUAUGUCUGUCAUCCAUCCAUCCACCUAUCCAUUCAUCCAUCCAAUUGACAGUGCUUGUACAGUACAUCACAUACCAUUAACCUGCAGGGUGUGUGUCUGGAAGAGCUGCUCGUAUCCGUCAGCAUGGCAGUCCAUCAUCUGUAUUUGGUAAUGGUGCACGCGGAGCUGUGAACUUGAAGAUGUCCGUCGCAGACUCAGGAACUGGAUGGAUUCGCAGGUGGUGUUAAAUCGGAUUGACGGAUGGCAUGAGAGCGAGUGGUCACUGCAGAGGAGCAUGUGUUGAUGAUUUCUUUCGGUUUGGAGAGGUGCUGAACUGACAGAGCCGAACUGACUCGCUCUUCUCCCAA